GAUCUCCCCGUGCAGAAGCGGUGAUAAUACCAUAAGACGAGAAGACCCUAUGGAGCUUUAGACGUCAGAGCAGCCCAUGUAAAGCACCCCUUAACAAAGGAAAAAACCAAAUGAAGCCUGCCCUAAUGUCUUUGGUUGGGGCGACCGCGGGGAAAUACAAAACCCCCAUGUGGAGUAGGAAUACACAUUCCUAAACCCAAGAGCUCCCGCUCUAAUGAACAGAAAUUCUGACCAAUAAGAUCCGGCACACGCCGAUCAACGGACCGAGUUACCCUAGGGAUAACAGCGCAAUCCCCUUAAAGAGCCCUUAUCGACAAGGGGGUUUACGACCUCGAUGUUGGAUCAGGACAUCCUAAUGGUGCAGCCGCUAUUAAGGGUUCGUUUGUUCGACGAUUGAUGACCG
RNAcentral lists this ribosomal RNA (403 nucleotides) under Pagrus major (red seabream). RNAcentral describes it as "partial 16S ribosomal RNA". It matches the Rfam family "Bacterial large subunit ribosomal RNA", at positions 2048 to 2597 of the family's 2925-position model. Lineage: Eukaryota; Metazoa; Chordata; Actinopteri; Spariformes; Sparidae. The record is from RNAcentral.